AUACGGAGGGUGCAAGCGUUGUCCGGAUUUAUUGGGUUUAAAGGGUGCGCAGGCGGUGCGUUAAGUCAGUGGUGAAAUCUUCCGGCUCAACCGGGAAACUGCCAUUGAUACUGGCGCACUUGAGUACGGACGAGGUAGGCGGAAUUUAUGGUGUAGCGGUGAAAUGCAUAGAUACCAUAAAGAACACCGAUAGCGAAGGCAGCUUACCAGACCGUAACUGACGCUCAGGCACGAAAGCGUGGGGAGCAAACAGGAUUAGAAACCCUUGUAGUCC
RNAcentral lists this ribosomal RNA (274 nucleotides) under uncultured bacterium. RNAcentral describes it as "partial 16S ribosomal RNA". It matches the Rfam family "Bacterial small subunit ribosomal RNA", at positions 523 to 796 of the family's 1533-position model. The record is from RNAcentral.